RNAcentral lists this small RNA (159 nucleotides) under Helianthus annuus (common sunflower). RNAcentral's name for it is "Microsporidia small subunit ribosomal RNA". It matches the Rfam family "Eukaryotic small subunit ribosomal RNA", at positions 244 to 428 of the family's 1831-position model. Lineage: Eukaryota; Viridiplantae; Streptophyta; Magnoliopsida; Asterales; Asteraceae. The record is from RNAcentral.
CGUUGUUUGAUGGGGUUUUGAAAAAUUAUGAUUGCUCGAAAAUUUAAUUUAUGUUCCUAUCACUUAGCUUUUUGUGCAAAAUGUGACGGGUGACGGAGAAUUAGGGUUCGAUUCCGGAGAGGGAGCCUGAGAAACGGCUACCACAUCCAAGGAAGGCAG